GAUGAACGCUAGCGGGAGGCCUAACACAUGCAAGCCGAGCGGUAGAGAUCUUUCGGGAUCUUGAGAGCGGCGUACGGGUGCGGAACACGUGUGCAACCUGCCUUUAUCUGGGGGAUAGCCUUUCGAAAGGAAGAUUAAUACCCCAUAAUAUACUGAAUGGCAUCAUUCGGUAUUGAAAACUCCGGUGGAUAGAGAUGGGCACGCGCAAGAUUAGAUAGUUGGUGAGGUAACGGCUCACCAAGUCUACGAUCUUUAGGGGGCCUGAGAGGGUGAUCCCCCACACUGGUACUGAGACACGGACCAGACUCCUACGGGAGGCAGCAGUGAGGAAUAUUGGACAAUGGGUGAGAGCCUGAUCCAGCCAUCCCGCGUGAAGGACGACGGCCCUAUGGGUUGUAAACUUCUUUUGUAUAGGGAUAAACCUACCCUCGUGAGGGUAGCUGAAGGUACUAUACGAAUAAGCACCGGCUAACUCCGUGCCAGCAGCCGCGGUAAUACGGAGGGUGCAAGCGUUAUCCGGAUUUAUUGGGUUUAAAGGGUCCGUANGCGGAUCUGUAAGUCAGUGGUGAAAUCUCACAGCUUAACUGUGAAACUGCCAUUGAUACUGCAGGUCUUGAGUGUUGUUGAANUA
Molecule: ribosomal RNA, 631 nt
Filed under: uncultured prokaryote
Description: bacterial SSU rRNA
Rfam family: Bacterial small subunit ribosomal RNA
Source: RNAcentral